This 469-nucleotide ribosomal RNA is filed under the name Ceriodaphnia megops. RNAcentral's name for it is "partial 16S ribosomal RNA". It matches the Rfam family "Bacterial large subunit ribosomal RNA", at positions 1914 to 2601 of the family's 2925-position model. Lineage: Eukaryota; Metazoa; Arthropoda; Branchiopoda; Diplostraca; Daphniidae. The record is from RNAcentral.
UGCAUUUUAGUAAAUAGCCGCAGUAUUUUGACUGUGCUAAGGUAGCAUAAUCAUUAGUCUCUUUAUUGGAGGCUGGUAUGAAUGGUGAGACGAGAAAAUAGCUGUCUCUAAAAAAAUAAUUGAAUUUCAUUUCUAAGUGAAAAAGCUUAGAUAAUUUUGGAGGACGAUCAGACCCUUUGGAGCUUUACUUAGGCAGAUACUUAAAUUUAUUUAACAUAAUUAACUGUAUGUCUGGGUUUUGUUGGGGCGACAGAGAGUAAAAGAUAACACUCUUUUUUAUUAACAUAAUUAAAUGAAUAAAUGAUCCUUGACGUGAGAUUAAAAGACUAAGUUACCCUAGGGAUAACAGCGUAAUCUUUUUAGAGAGUUCAUAUCGAUAAAAAGGUUUGCGACCUCGAUGUUGGAUUAAGAAAUUAGCAAGGUGCAGAAGUUUUGCUGGAAAGUCUGUUCGACUUUUAAAAUCUUACAU